This 600-nucleotide long non-coding RNA is filed under the name Fukomys damarensis (Damara mole-rat). RNAcentral's name for it is "lncRNA (ENSFDAG00000029325.1)". Lineage: Eukaryota; Metazoa; Chordata; Mammalia; Rodentia; Bathyergidae. The record is from RNAcentral.
CUACAGUCCCGUCAUAGAAACAGAGGAUCGAUGCUGGGGCACGAGAUGGAAAGCCCAAUUACUCCCUCCCUGCGGACGACCACCUGAGCAGACAUUUCCCUUCAGCCCCAGCAGCAGUUCCGCGUGAGAGACCCCUCCUGUCAGCCCUCACCUGCGUCAGGACAAAAGCUCUGAGGCAGCAUCUUUAUCUUCACUCAGAGAUGGAAAGAGGGACACACAAACAAACAGUAUGCAAACAACAGAAUCUCAAGCAGUGGUGGGCAAAGAAGUGGAAGAUACACAGAAUCUAGCAAAGCACUACAACCUCAGUUCUAGAAAGAUGCACCCAACCUGCUACUGAAGGCAACCAGCUUUCUGAAGACAGCAUCCGGUCCACAGCCCAUGCUGCUCUGUAAAGAACCCAAAGCGGGGUCACUAAUUCAGGGUCAACUUUCAGGAGCAUCUGUAGAACAGCUAAGUCACAAGAAAGACGAAUGGGACUCCAGAGUCACGACCAACUGCUCUAGGGACACCCAGCUGAAGGCCAGCCUCACUCAGUCCCCAAUGGCCAGAGCUCCGUGCGACCUAGCCAGUCCUUGGGGAGGAACUAAAAGGGUAUGA